Molecule: long non-coding RNA, 297 nt
Organism: Saccostrea cuccullata (small rock oyster)
Lineage: Eukaryota; Metazoa; Mollusca; Bivalvia; Ostreida; Ostreidae
Exons: 3
Source: RefSeq, a predicted model, not a curated record
UUCGGUCGUAUUGGGGUGUAAAUUGUAACCAGACCUGUAGCACUGAAUGUAUAAGUCAAACUUGUCAUCAUGAAUCAGGAGUCUGUUUGACGUCAUUUCAGAAGAUGCCUGACACGCAUGCCCUCGAUCACACAACUAUCAUAAUAUGUGUUGUAGUCUCGCUUUCCAUUGUAUUCAUCGGAAGUGUCUUAAACUUUCUCAUCUGGAGGCGGAAUCGGAAUAAAGCUAUGGAAACCAGCAAAUUCGGACCAAAAAUUAAUUUAAACGAACUGUCAUCUUCACAACUUGCAGGUAAAA